GGGAGUAUAACUUAGCAGUAGAGUGUGUGCUUAGCAUGCGCAAGGUCCUGGGAUCAAUCCCCAAUGCCUCCU
Molecule: transfer RNA, 72 nt
Filed under: Camelus dromedarius (Arabian camel)
Lineage: Eukaryota; Metazoa; Chordata; Mammalia; Artiodactyla; Camelidae
Also listed under: 1 other name
Rfam family: tRNA
About the family: Transfer RNA (tRNA) molecules are approximately 80 nucleotides in length. Their secondary structure includes four short double-helical elements and three loops (D, anti-codon, and T loops).
Source: Rfam by way of RNAcentral